RNAcentral lists this ribosomal RNA (497 nucleotides) under uncultured bacterium. RNAcentral describes it as "partial 16S ribosomal RNA". It matches the Rfam family "Bacterial small subunit ribosomal RNA", at positions 28 to 507 of the family's 1533-position model. The record is from RNAcentral.
GAUGAACGCUGGCGGCGUGCCUAAUACAUGCAAGUCGAGCGAACAGACGAGGCGCUUGCUCCUCUGACGUUAGCGGCGGACGGGUGAGUAACACGUGUAUAACCUACCUAUAAGACUGGGAUAACUUCGGGAAACCGGAGCUAAUACCGUAUAAUAUCUUGAACCGCAUGGUUCAAUAGUGAAAUACGGUUUUCGGGGACUUAAUGGUGGCUUCUGCGCUGCUUUAGUUGGUUGUUAAGGUACCGGUUUACCAAGGCAAGGAGGCGUAGCCGACUGGAGAGGGUGAUCGGCCACACGGGAACUGAGACACGGUCCAGACUCCUACGGGAGGCAGCAGUAGGGAAUCUGACGCAAUGGGCGAAAGCCUGACGGAGCAACGCCGCGUGAGUGAUGAAGGUCUUCGGAUCGUAAAACUCUGUUAUUAGGGAAGAACAAAUGUGUAAGUAACUAUGCACGUAUUGACGGUAACUAAUCAGAAAGCCACGGCUAACUACGUG